Molecule: ribosomal RNA, 387 nt
Filed under: uncultured bacterium
Lineage: Bacteria
Description: bacterial SSU rRNA
Rfam family: Bacterial small subunit ribosomal RNA
Source: RNAcentral
AUUGAACGCUGGCGGCAUGCCUUACACAUGCAAGUCGAACGGCAGCACGGGAGCAAUCCUGGUGGCGAGUGGCGAACGGGUGAGUAAUAUAUCGGAACGUGCCCGGUCGUGGGGGAUAACGUAGCGAAAGCUACGCUAAUACCGCAUACGAUCUACGGAUGAAAGCGGGGGAUCGCAAGACCUCGCGCGAUUGGAGCGGCCGAUAUCAGAUUAAGUAGUUGGUGAGGUAAAGGCUCACCAAGCCGACGAUCUGUAGCUGGUCUGAGAGGACGACCAGCCACACUGGGACUGAGACACGGCCCAGACUCCUACGGGAGGCAGCAGUGGGGAAUUUUUGGACAAUGGGCGCAAGCCUGAUCCAGCAAUGCCGCGUGCAGGAUGAAGGCC